Molecule: ribosomal RNA, 478 nt
Filed under: uncultured bacterium
Lineage: Bacteria
Description: partial 16S ribosomal RNA
Rfam family: Bacterial small subunit ribosomal RNA
Source: RNAcentral
GACGAACGCUGGCGGCGCGCCUAAAACAUGCAAGUCGAACGAGAAGCCCGGGCUUGCCCGGGUGGACAGUGGCGAACGGGUGAGUAACACGUGAGGAACCUGCCCCGAAGACCGGGACAACACCGGGAAACCGGUGCUAAUACCGGAUGCCUUCACCGGAUCGCAUGGUCUGGUGAAGAAAUGGAUUCCGCUUCGGGAUGGCCUCGCGGCCUAUCAGCUUGUUGGUGAGGUAAUGGCUCACCAAGGCGACGACGGGUAGUUGGUCUGAGAGGAUGUCCAGCCACACUGGGACUGAGACACGGCCUAGACUCCUACGGGAGGCAGCAGUUAGGAAUCUUGCGCAAUGGGCGAAAGCUUGACGCAGCGACGCCGCGUGCGGGAUGAAGGCCUUCGGGUUGUAAACCGCUUUCAGCAGGGACGAAAUUGACGGUACCUGCAGAAGAAGCCCCGGCCAACUACGUGCCAGCCGCCGCAGUAA